ACGACCCUUCGGGAGCUUGUACAGGUGCUGCAUGGCUGUCGUCAGCUCGUGUCGUGAGAUGUUCGGUUAAGUCCGCUAACGAGCGCAACCCUCGCUGUGUGUUACAAGUGUCACACGGAACUGCCGGUCAUAAACCGGAGGAAGUGGGAUGACGUCAAGUCAGCAUGGCCUUUAUAUCCCUGGGCUACACACACGCUACAAUGGGAAGGGACAAUAGGUUGCGAAGCCGCGAGGUGGGGCCAAUCCAGCAAAACUUCCCUCAGUUCAGAUUGCAGGCUGCAACUCGCCUGCAUGAAGUUGGAGUUGCUAGUAAACGCAGGUCAGCCAUACUGCGUUGAAUACGUUCCCGGGGCUU
This 355-nucleotide ribosomal RNA is filed under the name uncultured Anaerolineaceae bacterium. Its description in RNAcentral is "bacterial SSU rRNA". It matches the Rfam family "Bacterial small subunit ribosomal RNA", at positions 1012 to 1382 of the family's 1533-position model. Lineage: Bacteria; Bacillati; Chloroflexota; Anaerolineae; Anaerolineales; Anaerolineaceae. The record is from RNAcentral.